RNAcentral lists this small RNA (67 nucleotides) under Pontibacillus marinus BH030004 = DSM 16465. RNAcentral describes it as "Bacillaceae-1 RNA". It matches the Rfam family "Bacillaceae-1 RNA". Lineage: Bacteria; Bacillati; Bacillota; Bacilli; Caryophanales; Bacillaceae. The record is from Rfam by way of RNAcentral.
GAGAAAGAAUGAUCGACUAAGUUCGUCACGUCCUGUGACAACGUCGAUCUGACCCACGUCGUGUGGG